AUUGAACGCUGGCGGCAGGCCUAACACAUGCAAGUCGAACGGUAACAGGAAGCAGCUUGCUGCUUUUCUGACGAGUGGCGGACGGGUGAGUAAUGUCUGGGAAACUGCCCGAUGGAGGGGGAUAACUACUGGAAACGGUAGCUAAUACCGCAUAACGUCGCAAGCCCAAAGAGGGGGACCUUAGGGCCUCUUGCCAUCGGAUGUGCCCAGAUGGGAUUAGCUAGUAGGUGGGGUAACGGCUCACCUAGGCGACGAUCCCUAGCUGGUCUGAGAGGAUGACCAGCGACACUGGAACUGAGACACGGUCCAGACUCCUACGGGAGGCAGCAGUGGGGAAUAUUGCACAAUGGGCGCAAGCCUGAUGCAGCCAUGCCGCGUGUAUGAAGAAGGCCUUCGGGUUGUAAAGUACUUUCAGCGGGGAGGAAGGGAGUAAAGUUAAUACCUUUGCUCAUUGACGUUACCCGCAGAAGAAGCACCGGCUAACUCCGUG
RNAcentral lists this ribosomal RNA (490 nucleotides) under uncultured bacterium. Its description in RNAcentral is "partial 16S ribosomal RNA". It matches the Rfam family "Bacterial small subunit ribosomal RNA", at positions 30 to 507 of the family's 1533-position model. The record is from RNAcentral.